AGAGGUUACUGCUAUUGGUGUUCGACUAAGCCAUGCAAGUCAUAUGUUCCUCGUGAACAUGGCAUACUGCUCAGUAACACGUGGAUAACCUGCCCUUGGGUCUGGGAUAACCCCGGGAAACUGGGGAUAAUACCGGAUAACGCAUAUGUGCUGGAAUGCUUUAUGCGUAAAAUGGAUUCGUCCGCCCAAGGAUGGGUCUGCGGCCUAUCAGGUAGUAGUGGGUGUAAUGUACCUACUAGCCAACAACGGGUACGGGUUGUGAGAGCAAGAGCCCGGAGAUGGAUUCUGAGACAUGAAUCCAGGCCCUACGGGGCGCAGCAGGCGCGAAAACUUUACAAUGCGGGAAACCGUGAUAAGGGAACACCGAGUGCCAGCAUCAUAUGCUGGCUGUCCAGAUGUGUAAACUACAUCUGUUAGCAAGGGCCGGGCAAGACCGGUGCCAGCCGCCGCGGUAACACCGGCGGCCCGAGUGGUGACCGUUAUUAUUGGGUCUAAAGGGUCCGUAGCCGGUUUGGUCAGUCCUCCGGGAAAUCUGAUAGCUUAACUGUUAGGCUUUCGGGGGAUACUGCCAGGCUUGGAACCGGGAGAGGUAAGAGGUACUACAGGGGUAGGAGUGAAAUCUUGUAAUCCCUGUGAGACCACCUGUGGCGAAGGCGCCUUACCAGAACGGGUUCGACGGUGAGGGACGAAAGCUGGGGGCACGAACCGGAUUAGAUACCCGGGUAGUCCCAGCCGUAAACUAUGCUCGCUAGGUGUCAGGCAUGGCGCGACCGUGUCUGGUGCCGCAGGGAAGCCGUGAAGCGAGCCACCUGGGAAGUACGGCCGCAAGGCUGAAACUUAAAGGAAUUGGCGGGGGAGCACAACAACGGGUGGAGCCUGCGGUUUAAUUGGACUCAACGCCGGACAACUCACCGGGGACGACAGCAAUAUGUAGGCCAGGCNGAAGACCUUGCCUGAAUCGCGGAGAGGAGGUGCAUGGCCGUCGCCAGUUCGUACUGUGAAGCAUC
RNAcentral lists this ribosomal RNA (1007 nucleotides) under uncultured euryarchaeote. RNAcentral describes it as "bacterial SSU rRNA". It matches the Rfam family "Archaeal small subunit ribosomal RNA", at positions 19 to 1025 of the family's 1478-position model. The record is from RNAcentral. Lineage: Archaea; Methanobacteriati; Methanobacteriota.